This is a long non-coding RNA of Brachypodium distachyon (stiff brome), 1675 nucleotides long. RefSeq lists it as uncharacterized. The transcript has 6 exons. NCBI's taxonomy places the organism in Eukaryota, Viridiplantae, Streptophyta, Magnoliopsida, Poales, Poaceae. The record is from RefSeq and is a predicted model, not a curated record.
ACCCCAUUGAUACGAAUAAGUAACGCAGAGAAAAUAAUUUUUACGCACUUCAGCCUAUGCAACUGGGAGGAUCUCUCUUUUGAUAGAUCUUCCCUUUCAAUGAAUUUUCUGUAAGAAAGCUCUUGCCAGAUCUCUUCAACCAUGUAGCUUGUACCUCGUAGGAUGUACACCCCUUCCAAGCACCAAAGACUACUUUUGAGUAGUUCGGUUCAUGAGUGAAAAUAGCAUAAACGUAAUUAUUUGAUACAAAAACAACAUCAUAAAAAGAACACACAAGUGGUGGCAUUUGGUACUGCACUUUCCCGUUUAUGUUGGUACUAUACUCAUUAUCAACUCAUCGAUUCGGACUAAGAUCACAAUUGCGAAUUUACCAAAAUAAGACGACACGGACAUGGCAGCUGGAUAUUACGCGAUGCUCCUUACCAAUACUGUAUAUGGAAAAACAUGCCAUUCCUAUUCCUUUUUAAGGCCUUACAAAAGGCAUGCUAUAACGGCUAAAUCCUUACUGAAGGCAUGCAUUCUAAAGGUGGACAUAAUUAGCCACUGAUUAAUGCUGACAGGUAACAUAACCACAGAGAAUUUUCAUGUACACAAAAUCAGCUAGGAGCAGGGUGUGUAUACCUUGGCAAUGCAAUUACUCGAGUGCAACGACAACUUUAGCAGCAGCCCAAUCAUGAAUACUAUAGACAAUGAUAUAUGGAAUGCAACACGAUGCAAGAGAAUCAGAACCAUGGAAAGCCAUCGCCUGCUAGUGGGUGCUCUUGCAUGCAGCUCUUCGCUCCUUUCAUCUGGCAGUUGCGACCAGAACAUCCUUCACCAUGAUAUCCGUGCUCCGGAAGACUACGUAAUAAACUUUACUGGGCAUAAAUCGGAGGUCUGUGGGCUCAGGUGAUCUUAUGAUAACCGCCAGCUCGCUUCUGGUGGUAACGACAACAGACUUUUGGUAUGGAAUGAACAUUCAGUCCAGCCAGUACUGAAGUAUACGGAGCACACAGCAGCUGUGAAAGCUAUUGCUUGGUCACCUAAUCUCCAUGGGCUUCUUGCAUCAGGUGGAGGAACUGCAAAUAUAUGCAUACGUUUUUGAAGUACGACCACAAAAUACAAACUUGAGUUGCAUGGACACAGGAAGUCAGGUCAUCUUGCAAUUGACCGGCUCAAACGUGAACUACUCUAAGCCAUCCAGAGCCUAGGAGUGCAGAUUUCUUUUAUCGCAGAACAUGUGACCUGCAUUUGCUUGAGAGCCUAGGUGGUGAUGAUGGCUUAACGAGCUCCCACUGUCAAUAAACACGGGGCGAACAUAUUGAUGUCCGAGGAUUGGCGACAAAACCAAAGGGUACCGUCGAGGAUAUGGGCAAUGUGACUGGCCAGUCAUUCUCAUCGAAGAGGAUGGAAACAUUUGACCACUUUAGCCUCGAAGACGAAGGUGGUGUGUGAUGCUGUCUCCAUUGUUCAUGCAGAGAGCAUGUCAUGAAGGAUUGUCCCGAUGCGAAGAAAGUGCUGCUCACAAAAGAUGGUUAUGCCACUGCUGAUUCAUGUGACGAAUCUGAACUGAGGGGAAAGAUGAAGCCCACUGCACGUUUGAAACCGGUACACCUUUGAGUUCAGAUGGAGGAGAUGGUGUCAAUCUCAUGGUUCGCAAAGUGGCUCGUGAUGACACUCUGGUUGCUGAGAAGGG